AACGCAUCUUGCGCUCCUUGGUAUUCCGAGGAGCAUGCCUGUUUGAGUGUCAUUUAACUUAUCAACCAUGUUUCAUGUCUGGAACGUGGCUUGGAUGUGGGGGCUCUUUCGCAGGCCUAUCUAUGGGUCGGCUCCCCUGAAACGCAUUAGUGGCAUCUGAGCUGCUACUGUAGGUGUGAUAAAUUAUCUAUGCCUUUGGUAUGCUGCAUGAACAGAUCACGCUGCUCAGAACCAAACUUGAGAAAGACUUGACAAACUUGACCUCAAAUCAGGUAGGACUACCCGCUGAACUUAA
RNAcentral lists this unclassified non-coding RNA (295 nucleotides) under Dothideomycetes sp. RNAcentral describes it as "partial contains 5.8S ribosomal RNA, internal transcribed spacer 2, and large subunit ribosomal RNA". The stretch from base 1 to 52 matches the Rfam family "5.8S ribosomal RNA", at positions 103 to 154 of the family's 154-position model. Lineage: Eukaryota; Fungi; Ascomycota; Dothideomycetes. The record is from RNAcentral.